GUGAACGCUGGCGGUAGGCCUAACACCUGCAAGUCGAACGGCAGCACAGUAAGAGCUUGCUCUUACGGGUGGCGAGUGGCGGUCGGGUGAGGAAUACAUCGGAAUCUACUUUUUCGUGGGGGAUAACGUAGGGAAACUUACGCUAAUACCGCAUACGACCUACGGGUGAAAGCAGGGGAUCUUCGGACCUUGCGCGAUUGAAUGAGCCGAUGUCGGAUUAGCUAGUUGGCGGGGUAAAGGCCCACCAAGGCGACGAUCCGUAGCUGGUCUGAGAGGAUGAUCAGCCACACUGGAACUGAGACACGGUCCAGACUCCUACGGGAGACAGCAGUGGGGAAUAUUGGACAAUGGGCGCAAGCCUGAUCCAGCCAUACCGCGUGGGUGAAGAAGGCCUUCGGGUUGUAAAGCCCUUUUGUUGGGAAAGAAAAGCAGCAGGUUAAUACCCCGCUGUUCUGACGGUACCCAAAGAAUAAGCACCGGCUAACUUCGUG
This 491-nucleotide ribosomal RNA is filed under the name uncultured bacterium. RNAcentral's name for it is "partial 16S ribosomal RNA". It matches the Rfam family "Bacterial small subunit ribosomal RNA", at positions 29 to 507 of the family's 1533-position model. The record is from RNAcentral.